RNAcentral lists this ribosomal RNA (359 nucleotides) under uncultured bacterium. RNAcentral describes it as "partial 16S ribosomal RNA". It matches the Rfam family "Bacterial small subunit ribosomal RNA", at positions 338 to 694 of the family's 1533-position model. The record is from RNAcentral.
CCUACGGGUGGCAGCAGUGAGGAAUAUUGGUCAAUGGGCGGGAGCCUGAACCAGCCAAGCCGCGUGAGGGAAGAAGGUCCAGCGUAUCGUAAACCUCUUUUGUCAGGGAACAAAGUCGGGGACUAGUCCCCGGAUGAGGGUACCUGAUGAAAAAGCAUCGGCUAACUCCGUGCCAGCAGCCGCGGUAAUACGGAGGAUGCGAGCGUUAUCCGGAUUUAUUGGGUUUAAAGGGGGCGCAGGCGGGCUGUUAAGUCAGCUGUAAAAGCCCGGGGCUCAACCCCGACAUGCCGUGGGAAAGGGGGUGCUGGGAGGACAGGUGAGGUAGGCGGAAGGCGUGGGGGAGGGGGGAAAGGCUUAGA